UACAGAGGGUGCGAGCGUUGUUCGGAAUUACUGGGCGUAAAGCGCACGUAGGCGGCUUUGUAAGUUAGAGGUGAAAGCCCGGGGCUCAACCCCGGAAUUGCCUUUAAGACUGCAUCGCUUGAAUCCGGGAGAGGUGAGUGGAAUUCAGAGUGUAGAGGUGAAAUUCGUAGAUAUUCGGAAGAACACCAGUGGCGAAGGCGGCUCACUGGACCGGUAUUGACGCUGAGGCGCGAAAGCGUGGGGAGCAAACAGG
This 253-nucleotide ribosomal RNA is filed under the name uncultured bacterium. RNAcentral describes it as "partial 16S ribosomal RNA". It matches the Rfam family "Bacterial small subunit ribosomal RNA", at positions 524 to 776 of the family's 1533-position model. The record is from RNAcentral.